Molecule: ribosomal RNA, 714 nt
Filed under: Triticum aestivum (bread wheat)
Lineage: Eukaryota; Viridiplantae; Streptophyta; Magnoliopsida; Poales; Poaceae
Description: partial small subunit ribosomal RNA
Source: RNAcentral
AUGCUGCAGGCGGGCUCGGAGCGUGCGGCGCCGCUCCCGGGCGCGGCGAGGCUGUGGGUGCCGGGGAUGAGCCCCGUGGCGGCGGACGGGGCGGGGGCGUCGGCCAGGGCGCGGGAGAUCGCGCGGAGGCGGGACGAGAUGCUCGGCAUGCUGCGCGACCUCCCCGAGGCCGACUACGAGCUAUCCCUCACCGACCUCGUCGACAAGACCGCCGCGCCCGGGGCCAACGGAUGCGUGCCGCCCUUGCCCUUGCCGGUCGAGAGGAAAGAGGCGAGCCCGAGCCCCUUGGGUCUGGCCGAGUCCGGCGGGCAGGCCGAGCCGCAGCCGCAGCAGCAGCCGGCGAGGGCGACGGAGAGGAAGGGCUCCGCCUCCGCGAGGCGGCGCGGGGACGGCGGCAGCGGGGGCGGGAGCGGGAGCGGCCUCCGCAGCAGCAGCGACGGCGUCCUGCUCAACUUCUACAUGCCGCGCUCCUUCACCCGCAGCUUCACCGCGCCGCGCCCCCCCCGCACCCCCUCCUUCUCCACCUCCGGCCGGGCCGCCAGCGCCGUCGCCCCCGACGACUGCAACAAGAGGGAGAGAGACGGCGACACGGUCAGGUGCUGGCCGCUGCCGUGGGACCGGCGGUGGCGCAAGUCGAGCCGGCGGCGGCAGGACCCCGCCGCCGCGACGUCCGGCGAGCUGUCGGCGAUGCUGACGGCGGCGGACAGAGUCUGA